UAUAUACUUCCUCCGUCCGAAAAUACUUGCAAAAUAGAUAAAAAGGAUGUAUUUAGAACUAAAAUACAUCUAGAUACAUCACUUUUAUUCAUUUUGAUGACAAGUAUUUCCGGACGGAGGGAGUACUUU
Molecule: non-coding RNA, 129 nt
Organism: Triticum aestivum (bread wheat)
Lineage: Eukaryota; Viridiplantae; Streptophyta; Magnoliopsida; Poales; Poaceae
Source: Rfam